GGGGGGGGGUGCCUAUACAUGCAAGUCGAGCGCAGGAAGUUAUCUGAUCCUCUUUUAGAGGUGACGAUAAUGGAAUGAGCGGCGGACGGGUGAGUAACACGUAGGCAACCUGCCUGUAAGACUGGGAUAACUCGUGGAAACGCGAGCUAAUACCGGAUAACACUUUUCAUCUCCUGAUGAGAAGUUGAAAGGCGGCUUUUGCUGUCACUUACAGAUGGGCCUGCGGCGCAUUAGCUAGUUGGUAAGGUAAUGGCUUACCAAGGCGACGAUGCGUAGCCGACCUGAGAGGGUGAUCGGCCACACUGGGACUGAGACACGGCCCAGACUCCUACGGGAGGCAGCAGUAGGGAAUCUUCCGCAAUGGACGAAAGUCUGACGGAGCAACGCCGCGUGAGUGAUGAAGGUUUUCGGAUCGUAAAACUCUGUUGUUAGGGAAGAACAAGUGCCAUAGUAACUGAUGGCACCUUGACGGUACCUAACCAGAAAGCCACGGCUAACUACGUGCCAGCAGCCGCGGUAAUACGUAGGUGGCAAGCGUUGUCCGGAAUUAUUGGGCGUAAAGCGCUCGCAGGCGGUUCUUUAAGUCUGAUGUGAAAUCUUACGGCUCAACCGUAAACGUGCAUUGGAAACUGGGGAACUUGAGUGCAGAAGAGGAGAGUGGAAUUCCACGUGUAGCGGUGAAAUGCGUAGAGAUGUGGAGGAACACCAGUGGCGAAGGCGACUCUCUGGUCUGUAACUGACGCUGAGGAGCGAAAGCGUGGGGAGCGAACAGGAUUAGAUACCCUGGUAGUCCACGCCGU
This 800-nucleotide ribosomal RNA is filed under the name Oceanobacillus sp. JSM 101039. RNAcentral's name for it is "bacterial SSU rRNA". It matches the Rfam family "Bacterial small subunit ribosomal RNA", at positions 38 to 803 of the family's 1533-position model. Lineage: Bacteria; Bacillati; Bacillota; Bacilli; Caryophanales; Bacillaceae. The record is from RNAcentral.